RNAcentral lists this ribosomal RNA (191 nucleotides) under uncultured Saprospirales bacterium. RNAcentral's name for it is "partial 16S ribosomal RNA". It matches the Rfam family "Bacterial small subunit ribosomal RNA", at positions 335 to 523 of the family's 1533-position model. Lineage: Bacteria; Pseudomonadati; Bacteroidota; Saprospiria; Saprospirales. The record is from RNAcentral.
ACUCCUACGGGAGGCAGCAGUAAGGAAUAUUGGGCAAUGGAGGCAACUCUGACCCAGCCAUCCCGCGUGCAGGAUGACUGCCCUAUGGGUUGUAAACUGCUUUUACAAGGGAAGAAACAGGUUUAUUUAUAAGCCUCUGACGGUACCUUGGGAAUAAGCACCGGCUAACUCCGUGCCAGCAGCCGCGGUAA